UACGUAGGGUGCAAGCGUUGUCCGGAAUUAUUGGGCCUAAAGCAUCCGUAGCCGGUUCUGCAAGUCCCCCGUUAAAUCCAGCUGCUCAACAGAUGGGCCGCGGAGGAUACUACAGAGCUAGGAGGCAGGAGAGGCAAGCGGUACUCAGUGGGUAGGGGUAAAAUCCGUUGAUCCAUUGAAGACCACCAGUGGCGAAGGCGGCUUGCCAGAAUGCGCUCGACGGUGAGGGAUGAAAGCUGGGGGAGCAAACAGG
This 253-nucleotide ribosomal RNA is filed under the name uncultured bacterium. RNAcentral describes it as "partial 16S ribosomal RNA". It matches the Rfam family "Bacterial small subunit ribosomal RNA", at positions 524 to 776 of the family's 1533-position model. The record is from RNAcentral.